Molecule: long non-coding RNA, 648 nt
Organism: Daphnia pulicaria
Lineage: Eukaryota; Metazoa; Arthropoda; Branchiopoda; Diplostraca; Daphniidae
Exons: 2
Source: RefSeq, a predicted model, not a curated record
UUUGAAACUAAUACUACUCUAAUGAGAAUCCACCGCUAUACCCACUAGGCUGCCGUUCGCUUACUCAUAGUGAAUCGUGGUGGAAACGAUGAGAAGAUUUUGCGGAAAACAGGAAUUUAAAAUCAUACUUUCGUAAAAUGGCAACGCAUGUGGCAUAGAUAUAACUGCCACAGGCAGCUGAGGGUCGGUGGGUGGCUCGAACAAAAUUGACACCCAGGGUGAAUUACAGCCUUGUGGCCGUGACUGUAGAAGGCUAUGGUUCGUGGUCACGCUUUCGUCACAUUCUUUAUUUUCUUUAUCGUUUACAAAAAAUUUGAAUUUCAGACCCAUUAUUUUAGAAAAUAUGGACCUUUUAAAAAAAGAGAAGUUUUGCGAAAUUUGGGACACUAAAUUUUACUGCAGUUGAGAAAAAGGCAUUUUGUUUACAAAGACCAUAUCCUGCCCCAAUGAAAGAGAGAACCCCGUGCACCCCUUUAUCGAGGGGAACUGGAAAUGGGGAAUUUGUUCUAACUUCUCAUACCCCCUUAAAAUAUGUGCAACACCGUUGGAGAAAUAAGUGGUAGCCUGCCAAAAUUAAUACCGUUAAUAUGUUAACUGAUUAUUAUCAAUUUUUUAACAUGAACAAUAAAAGAUUAAGUGUAAGCUAUA